RNAcentral lists this ribosomal RNA (1489 nucleotides) under Mycoplasma sp. Mirounga ES2805-ORL. RNAcentral's name for it is "16S ribosomal RNA". It matches the Rfam family "Bacterial small subunit ribosomal RNA". Lineage: Bacteria; Bacillati; Mycoplasmatota; Mollicutes; Mycoplasmatales; Mycoplasmataceae. The record is from RNAcentral.
GGAUGAACGCUGGCUGUGUGCCUAAUACAUGCAUGUCGAGCGAAGAACUUCGGUUCUUAGCGGCGAAUGGGUGAGUAACACGUGCUCAACGUACCCUUCAGAUUGGAAUAGCGGUUGGAAACAGCCGAUAAUACCAAAUACCCGUAAAUUUCGCAUGAAGUUUACGUAAAAGGUCCGUUUGGACCGCUGGAGGAGCGGGGUGCGUAACAUUAGCUUGUUGGUGAGGUAACGGCUCACCAAGGCGAUGAUGUUUAGCGGGGUUGAGAGACUGAACCGCCACACUGGGACUGAGAUACGGCCCAGACUCCUACGGGAGGCAGCAGUAGGGAAUAUUCCACAAUGGACGAAAGUCUGAUGGAGCGACACAGCGUGCAGGAUGACGGCCCCAUGGGUUGUAAACUGCUGUGGUAAGGGAAGAAAAAGUAGUGUAGGAAAUGACAUUACCUUGACGGUACCUUAUUAGAAAGCAACGGCUAACUAUGUGCCAGCAGCCGCGGUAAUACAUAGGUUGCAAGCGUUAUCCGGAAUUAUUGGGCGUAAAGCGUCUGUAGGUUGUUUGUUAAGUUCGGCGUUAAAUUUUGGGGCUCAACCCCAAACCGCGUUGAAUACUGGCAAACUAGAGUUAUGUAGAGGUAAGCGGAAUUCCUUGUGAAGCGGUGAAAUGCGUAGAUAUAAGGAAGAACACCAAAAUGGCGAAGGCAGCUUACUGGGCAUAUACUGACACUGAGAGACGAAAGCGUGGGGAGCAAACAGGAUUAGAUACCCUGGUAGUCCACGCCCUAAACGAUGAUCAUUAGCUGAUGGAGAGUUCGUCGGCGCAGCUAACGCAUUAAAUGAUCCGCCUGAGUAGUACGUUCGCAAGAAUAAAACUUAAAGGAAUUGACGGGGACCCGCACAAGCGGUGGAGCAUGUGGUUUAAUUUGAGAAUACGCGUAGAACCUUACCCACUCUUGACAUCUUCUGCAAAGCUAUAGAGAUAUAGUGGAGGUUAACAGAAUGACAGAUGGUGCAUGGUUGUCGUCAGCUCGUGUCGUGAGAUGUUCGGUUAAGUCCUGCAACGAGCGCAACCCUUAUCCUUAGUUACUAACAUUUAGUUGAGCACUCUAAGGAGACUGCCCGAGUAAUUGGGAGGAAGGUGGGGACGACGUCAAAUCAUCAUGCCUCUUACGAGUGGGGCAACACACGUGCUACAAUGGUCGGUACAAAGAGAAGCAAACUGGUGACAGGGAGCAAACCUCAAAAAACCGAUCUCAGUUCGGAUUGGAGUCUGCAACUCGACUCCAUGAAGUCGGAAUCGCUAGUAAUCGUAGAUCAGCUACGCUACGGUGAAUACGUUCUCGGGUCUUGUACACACCGCCCGUCAAACCAUGGGAGCUGGUAAUGCCCGAAGUCGGUUUAUAAACAAACUGCCUAAGGCAGGACUGGUGACUGGGGUUAAGUCGUAACAAGGUAUCCCUACGAGAACGUGGGGAUGGAUCACCUCCUUUCU